Molecule: non-coding RNA, 112 nt
Organism: Acanthosepion pharaonis
Lineage: Eukaryota; Metazoa; Mollusca; Cephalopoda; Sepiida; Sepiidae
Source: the annotation of a GenBank genome assembly
UUACGGCCAUAUCACAUUGAAACAUCGGUUCCCGUAAGUUAACAGAAGUUAAGAGACGUCGAGACUGGUCAGUACUUAGAUGGGUGACCGUUUGGGAAUACUAGGUACUGUG